This 329-nucleotide unclassified non-coding RNA is filed under the name soil metagenome. RNAcentral's name for it is "partial contains 5.8S ribosomal RNA, internal transcribed spacer 2, and large subunit ribosomal RNA". The stretch from base 1 to 120 matches the Rfam family "5.8S ribosomal RNA", at positions 35 to 154 of the family's 154-position model. The record is from RNAcentral.
GAUGAAGAACGCAGCGAAAUGCGAUACGUAAUGUGAAUUGCAGAUUUUAGUGAAUCAUCGAAUCUUUGAACGCACAUUGCGCCCGCCAGUAUUCUGGCGGGCAUGCCUGUUCGAGCGUCAUUUCAACCAUCAAGCCUUCGCUUGUGUUGGGGCCCCGCGGCUGCCGCGGCCCCCUAAAUCCAGUGGCGGGCUCGUCGUCGUACCGAGCGCAGUAGACAUCCUCGCUCCGGGAACCCGACGGGUGCCGGCCGUGAAACCCCCCCCAUCAAGGUUGACCUCGGAUCAGGUAGGAAUACCCGCUGAACUUAAGCAUAUCAAUAAGCGGAGGA